UCGGCGAGGAACAUUUUUCCGUUUUCAAGAAACGGAACUAUUUUUUGUCUUGCGAAAACGGGAGAAUUUGCAGUACUGCCGCACCGAGAAGCGCGGUAAGAUCUAUGUGCGAUUCACCAACACAAAAAGGUCAAUUUUCCUCCCCAGGAGGCUAAACGAAGGAGUGAGAACCGUGACCCACGUCUGCGUCAACACAAAUUUUGCGAUGACCAAGAAGGCGGUGAAAAACGCGAGUUCUAUAUAAUAGCGUUGGUGAUGGCAGUUCGGAAGUUAACAAAGAUUUGGACGAGUCUUCCACUAGCAGUUCUAAUGAAGCGAAGAAGCAACAAAGAAAGAGGCAAAUAAAGCGAUAAUGCAGCUCCAAAAAGGAACAGCCGCCAUCGUAAAGGCGGUUGAAACUUGCGAUAACGGGAGAAUUUGCAGUACUGCCGCACCGAGAAGCGCGGUAAAAUCUAUGUGCGAUUCACCAACACAAAAAGGUCAUUUCUCCUCCCCAGGCGGUGAAAAACGCGAGUUCUACAGAAUAGCGUUAUAAAAUAGCAUUUCGAGAGUAUAAAAUAUAUGAAACUUUUAAGGUUAGAAAAAAAAAAUGAAUGCAGUCAGCGGCGAGAGCAGAAGAAUCACAGUCAGAUCCGGCUUUUUUUAAGACAAACUGCGAACAAAAUUUGUGAAUUGGGGGAGGCGGUUGAAACUUGCGAUAACGGGAGAAUUUGCAGUACUGCCGCACCGAGAAGCGCGGUAAAAUCUAUGUGCGAUUCAAUACAAAAAGGUCAAUUUUCCUCCCCAGGAGGCUAAACGAAGGAGUGAGAACCGUGACCCACGUCUGCGUCAACACCCCCAAAUUUUGCGAUGACCAAGAAGGCGGUGAAAAACGCGAGUUCUACAGAAUAGCGUUAUAAAAUAGCAUUUCGAGAGUAUAAAAUAUAUGAAACUUUUAAGGUUAGAAAAAAAAAAUGAAUGCAGUCAGCGGCGAGAGCAGAAGAAUCACAGUCAGAUCCGGCUUUUUUUAAGACAAACUGCGAACAAAAUUUGUGAAUUGGGGGAGGCGGUUGAAACUUGCGAUAACGGGAGAAUUUGCAGUACUGCCGCACCGAGAAGCGCGGUAAAAUCUAUGUGCGAUUCAAUACAAAAAGGUCAAUUUUCCUCCCCAGGAGGCUAAACGAAGGAGUGAGAACCGUGACCCACGUCUGCGUCAACACCCCCAAAUUUUGCGAUGACCAAGAAGGCGGUGAAAAACGCGAGUUCUACAGAAUAGCGUUAUAAAAUAGCAUUUCGAGAGUAUAAAAUAUAUGAAACUUUUAAGGUUAGAAAAAAAAAAUGAAUGCAGUCAGCGGCGAGAGCAGAAGAAUCACAGUCAGAUCCGGCUUUUUUUAAGUCAAACUGCGACAAAAAUUUGUGAAUUGGGGGAGGCGGUUGAAACUUGCGAUAACGGGAGAAUUUGCAGUACUGCCGCACCGAGAAGCGCGGUAAAAUCUAUGUGCGAUUCAAUACAAAAAGGUAAAUUUUCCUCCCCAGGAGGCUAAACGAAGGAGUGAGAACCGUGACCCACGUCUGCGUCAACACCCCCAAAUUUUGCGAUGACCAAGAAGGCGGUGAAAAACGCGAGUUCUACAGGUGAUGGCCGUGCGGAAGUUAUCACAGAUGCGGACGAGUCUUCCACUAGCAGUUCUAAUGAAGCGAAGAAGCAACAAAGAAAGAGGCAAAUAAAGCGAUAAUGCAGCUCCAAAAAGGAACAGCCGCCAUCGUAAAUCUCGAUAAAGUAAACAGUUGCGAGGCAACCACCGCAACAAGCACCGAACCAGCCGACAACCGUCCUUCGUCAUUGUGCUGCACCACAAAAAGUUGCGGUGGUUCCCCUAUUCAACUACAACCAAUGU
Drosophila miranda is the source of this 1877-nucleotide long non-coding RNA. RefSeq lists it as uncharacterized. The record is from RefSeq and is a predicted model, not a curated record. Lineage: Eukaryota; Metazoa; Arthropoda; Insecta; Diptera; Drosophilidae. The transcript is spliced from 3 exons.